GAUGAACGCUGGCGGCGUGCCUAAUACAUGCAAGUCGAGCGAACAGACGAGGAGCUUGCUCCUCUGACGUUAGCGGCGGACGGGUGAGUAACACGUGGAUAACCUACCUAUAUGACUGGGAUAACUUCGGGACACCGGAGCUAAUACCGGAUAAUAUAUUGAACCGCAUGGUUCAAUAGUGAAAGACGGUUUUGCUGUCACUUAUCGAUGGAUCCGCGCUGCAUUAGCUAGUUGGUAAGGUAACGGCUUACCAAGGCAACGAUGCGUAGCCGACCUGAGAGGGUGAUCGGCCACACUGGAACUGAGACACGGUCCAGACUCCUACGGGAGGCAGCAGUAGGGAAUCGGCCGCAAUGGGCGAAAGCCUGACGGAGCAACGCCGCGUGAGUGAUGAAGGUCUUCGGAUCGUAAAACUCUGUUAUUAGGGAAGAACAAAUGUGUAAGUAACUGUGCACGUCUUGACGGUACCUAAUCAGAAAGCCACGGCUAACUACGUG
This 497-nucleotide ribosomal RNA is filed under the name uncultured bacterium. Its description in RNAcentral is "partial 16S ribosomal RNA". It matches the Rfam family "Bacterial small subunit ribosomal RNA", at positions 28 to 507 of the family's 1533-position model. The record is from RNAcentral.